RNAcentral lists this ribosomal RNA (492 nucleotides) under uncultured bacterium. RNAcentral describes it as "bacterial SSU rRNA". It matches the Rfam family "Bacterial small subunit ribosomal RNA", at positions 28 to 513 of the family's 1533-position model. The record is from RNAcentral.
GAUGAACGCUGGCGGCGUGCUUAACACAUGCAAGUCGAACGAAGCACUUUAGACAGAAGCCUUCGGGCGGAAGACUUUGGUGACUUAGUGGCGGACGGGUGAGUAACGCGUGGGUAACCUGCCCUGUACCGGGGGACAACAGUUGGAAACGACUGCUAAUACCGCAUAAGCGCACAGCAUCGCAUGAUGCAGUGUGAAAAACUCCGGUGGUACAGGAUGGACCCCGCGUCUGAUUAGCUAGUUGGUGAGGUAACGGCUUACCAAGGCAACGAUCAGUAGCCGACUUGAGAGAGUGAUCGGCCACAUUGGGACUGAGACACGGCCCAAACUCCUACGGGAGGCAGCAGUGGGGAAUAUUGCCACAAUGGGGGAAACCCUGAUGCAGCGACGCCGCGUGAAGGAAGAAGUAUUCGGUAUGUAAAGCUCUAUCAGCAGGAAGAAAAAAAUGACGGUACCCUGACUAAGAAGCCCCCGGCUAACUACGUGCCAGCA